Molecule: ribosomal RNA, 1143 nt
Filed under: Lactiplantibacillus plantarum
Lineage: Bacteria; Bacillati; Bacillota; Bacilli; Lactobacillales; Lactobacillaceae
Description: bacterial SSU rRNA
Rfam family: Bacterial small subunit ribosomal RNA
Source: RNAcentral
CCCUAAUACAUGGCAGUCGAACGAACUCUGGUAUUGAUUGGUGCUUGCAUCAUGAUUUACAUUUGAGUGAGUGGCGAACUGGUGAGUAACACGUGGGAAACCUGCCCAGAAGCGGGGGAUAACACCUGGAAACAGAUGCUAAUACCGCAUAACAACUUGGACCGCAUGGUCCGAGUUUGAAAGAUGGCUUCGGCUAUCACUUUUGGAUGGUCCCGCGGCGUAUUAGCUAGAUGGUGGGGUAACGGCUCACCAUGGCAAUGAUACGUAGCCGACCUGAGAGGGUAAUCGGCCACAUUGGGACUGAGACACGGCCCAAACUCCUACGGGAGGCAGCAGUAGGGAAUCUUCCACAAUGGACGAAAGUCUGAUGGAGCAACGCCGCGUGAGUGAAGAAGGGUUUCGGCUCGUAAAACUCUGUUGUUAAAGAAGAACAUAUCUGAGAGUAACUGUUCAGGUAUUGACGGUAUUUAACCAGAAAGCCACGGCUAACUACGUGCCAGCAGCCGCGGUAAUACGUAGGUGGCAAGCGUUGUCCGGAUUUAUUGGGCGUAAAGCGAGCGCAGGCGGUUUUUUAAGUCUGAUGUGAAAGCCUUCGGCUCAACCGAAGAAGUGCAUCGGAAACUGGGAAACUUGAGUGCAGAAGAGGACAGUGGAACUCCAUGUGUAGCGGUGAAAUGCGUAGAUAUAUGGAAGAACACCAGUGGCGAAGGCGGCUGUCUGGUCUGUAACUGACGCUGAGGCUCGAAAGUAUGGGUAGCAAACAGGAUUAGAUACCCUGGUAGUCCAUACCGUAAACGAUGAAUGCUAAGUGUUGGAGGGUUUCCGCCCUUCAGUGCUGCAGCUAACGCAUUAAGCAUUCCGCCUGGGGAGUACGGCCGCAAGGCUGAAACUCAAAGGAAUUGACGGGGGCCCGCACAAGCGGUGGAGCAUGUGGGUUUAAUUCGAAGCUACGCGAAGAACCUUACCAGGUCUUGACAUACUAUGCAAAUCUAGAGAUUAGACGUUCCCUUUCGGGGACAUGGAUACAGGUGUGCAUGAUGUCGUCAGCUCGUGUCGUGAGAUGUGGGUAGUCCCGCACGAGCGCACCCUAUAUCAGUGCAGCAUAGUUGGGCACUCUGGUGAGACUGCCGGUGACAACCCGAG